Molecule: ribosomal RNA, 260 nt
Filed under: uncultured bacterium
Lineage: Bacteria
Description: partial 16S ribosomal RNA
Rfam family: Bacterial small subunit ribosomal RNA
Source: RNAcentral
GAUCCUGGCUCAGGACGAACGCUGGCGGCGUGCCUAACACAUGCAAGUCGAACGGAAGUUAGAGCUUUGGUUUUAACUUUAGUGGCGAACGGGUGAGUAACGCGUGAGGAACCUGCCUUUCAGUGGGGGACAACAGUUGGAAACGACUGCUAAUACCGCAUGACACUUUUGGGGGACAUCCCUUAAAAGUCAAAGCUUUAUGUGCUGAAAGAUGGCCUCGCGUCUGAUUAGCUAGUUGGUGAGGUAACGGCUCACCAAGG